CCUACGGGUGGCAGCAGUGGGGGAUAUUGCACAAUGGGGGAAACCCUGAUGCAGCGACGCCGCGUGGGCGAAGAAGUAUUUCGGUAUGUAAAGCCCUAUCAGCAGGGAAGAAGAAAUGACGGUACCUGAGUAAGAAGCACCGGCUAAAUACGUGCCAGCAGCCGCGGUAAUACGUAUGGUGCAAGCGUGAUCCGGAUUUACUGGGUGUAAAGGGAGCGCAGGCGGCACGGCAAGCCUGAUGUGAAAACCCGCGGACCAACCGCGGGACUGCAUUGGGAACUACCGGGCGGGAGUGCCGGAGAGGUAGGCGGAAUUCCUAGUGUAGCGGUGAAAUGCGUAGAUAUUAGGAGGAACACCGGCGGCGAAGGCGGCCUGCUGGACCGCGACUGACGUUGAGGCUCGAAAGCGUGGGGAGCGAACAGGAUUAGAUACCCGAGUAGUC
This 442-nucleotide ribosomal RNA is filed under the name uncultured bacterium. RNAcentral's name for it is "partial 16S ribosomal RNA". It matches the Rfam family "Bacterial small subunit ribosomal RNA", at positions 338 to 795 of the family's 1533-position model. The record is from RNAcentral.